This 72-nucleotide transfer RNA is filed under the name Camelus bactrianus (Bactrian camel). It matches the Rfam family "tRNA". From Rfam's summary of the family: Transfer RNA (tRNA) molecules are approximately 80 nucleotides in length. Their secondary structure includes four short double-helical elements and three loops (D, anti-codon, and T loops). Further hydrogen bonds mediate the characteristic L-shaped molecular structure. tRNAs have two regions of fundamental functional importance: the anti-codon, which is responsible for specific mRNA codon recognition, and the 3' end, to which the tRNAs corresponding amino acid is attached (by aminoacyl-tRNA synthetases). tRNAs cope with the degeneracy of the genetic code in two manners: having more than one tRNA (with a specific anti-codon) for a particular amino acid; and 'wobble' base-pairing, i.e. permitting non-standard base-pairing at the 3rd anti-codon position. The record is from Rfam by way of RNAcentral. RNAcentral also lists the same sequence under 2 other names. Lineage: Eukaryota; Metazoa; Chordata; Mammalia; Artiodactyla; Camelidae.
GAAGGUAUAGCUCAGUGGUAGAGUGCAUGCUUAGCAUGCAAGAGGUCCUGGGUUCAAUCCCCAGUACCUCCA